This 497-nucleotide ribosomal RNA is filed under the name uncultured bacterium. RNAcentral describes it as "partial 16S ribosomal RNA". It matches the Rfam family "Bacterial small subunit ribosomal RNA", at positions 28 to 507 of the family's 1533-position model. The record is from RNAcentral.
GAUGAACGCUGGCGGCGUGCUUAACACAUGCAAGUCGAGCGAACAGACGCGGAGCUUGCUGCUCUCACGUUAGCGGCGGACGGGUGAGUAACACGAGGAUACCCUACCUAUCAGACUGGGACAACUUCGGGACACCGGAGAUAACACCGGAUAAGAUACUGAACCGCAGGGUUCAAUAGUGAAAGACGGUUUUGCUGUCACUUAUAGCUGCUUCCGCGCCGUUUUAGGUAGUUGGUAGGGUAACGGCUUACCAAGGCGACGAUGCGUAGCCGACCUGAGAGGAGGAUCGGCCACACUGGAACUGGGACACGGUCCAGACUCCUACGGGAGGCAGCAGUAGGGAAUCUUCGGCAAUGGGCGGAAGCCUGACGCAGCGACGCCGCGUGAGUGAUGAAGGCCUUCGGAUCGUAAAACUCUGUUAUUAGGGAAGAACAGAUGUGUACGUAGAUAUGGAGGUCUUGACGGUACCUGAUCAGAAAGCAACGGCUAACUACGUG